Molecule: long non-coding RNA, 384 nt
Organism: Esox lucius (northern pike)
Lineage: Eukaryota; Metazoa; Chordata; Actinopteri; Esociformes; Esocidae
Exons: 3
Source: RefSeq, a predicted model, not a curated record
CAGAAAUGAGGAGAGGAAGGGAAUAAAAGGGAGUGCUGUCUCAUCGUUCUUAGAGUGCACAACGCGUUUAUUAUCAUCACCUAAAUGGCAUCAGACAGGGAGUACUGUGUAUUUAGUAUGGAUAGUAUGGAUGAAGAGCUUUUUAUGCUAAUCUGAACGCCGAGACAUUUUCAGUGAGGCCCCUGGGAUGUCAUUGAAGGCUGAGUGCUGGGACCCCUGGGCUAGAUGUUUCUGACGAACGAAGACUGAAGGGUGUUGGAACCCAAGAUCCUGUUUGAUACUGCAUAAGCCUGAGUCAGCUGAAAGGUGCACACAGACCUCUUCUGCCCGGGCACGGCAGGCCUUCUCCACCCGCUCCUUCCAGCUCCCCUGGAUCAGGGCAUG